ACAGCAGUCGCCACGGUAAUACGUAGGUGGUAAGCGUUGUCCGGAAUUAUUGGGCGUAAAGGGCUCGCAGGCGGUUUCUUAAGUCUGAUGUGAAAGCCCCCGGCUCAACCGGGGAGGGUCAUUGGAAACUGGGAAACUUGAGUGCAGAAGAGGAGAGUGGAAUUCCACGUGUAGCGGUGAAAUGCGUAGAGAUGUGGAGGAACACCAGUGGCGAAGGCGACUCUCUGGUCUGUAACUGACGCUGAGGAGCGAAAGCGUGGGGAGCGAACAGGAUUAGAUACCCGCGUAGUCCCUGUCUCUUAUAC
Molecule: ribosomal RNA, 305 nt
Filed under: uncultured bacterium
Lineage: Bacteria
Description: partial 16S ribosomal RNA
Rfam family: Bacterial small subunit ribosomal RNA
Source: RNAcentral